RNAcentral lists this ribosomal RNA (305 nucleotides) under uncultured bacterium. RNAcentral's name for it is "partial 16S ribosomal RNA". It matches the Rfam family "Bacterial small subunit ribosomal RNA", at positions 505 to 807 of the family's 1533-position model. The record is from RNAcentral.
ACAGCAGUAGCCACGGGAACACGUAGGGUGCAAGCGUUAAUCGGAAUUACUGGGCGUAAAGCGUGCGCAGGCGGUUAUAUAAGACAGAUGUGAAAUCCCCGGGCUCAACCUGGGAACUGCAUUUGUGACUGUAUAGCUAGAGUACGGCAGAGGGGGAUGGAAUUCCGCGUGUAGCAGUGAAAUGCGUAGAUAUGCGGAGGAACACCGAUGGCGAAGGCAAUCCCCUGGGCCUGUACUGACGCUCAUGCACGAAAGCGUGGGGAGCAAACAGGAUUAGAUACCCCGGUAGUUCCUGUCUCUUAUAC